UAUAUGCGUAAAGAACAGGCCAUGCUCUAUGGCCGGGCGCAAGCAGUAGGCGCAGCCUGCGGGACUACA
Molecule: non-coding RNA, 69 nt
Filed under: unclassified sequences
Source: RNAcentral